CCUACGGGUGACAGCAGUGAGGAAUAUUGGUCAAUGGACGGAAGUCUGAACCAGCCAUGCCGCGUGCAGGAAGACGGCUCUAUGAGUUGUAAACUGCUUUUGUACAAGGGUAAACCUGAAUACGUGUAUUCAGCUGAAAGUACUGUACGAAUAAGGAUCGGCUAACUCCGUGCCAGCAGCCGCGGUAAUACGGAGGAUGCGAGCGUUAUCCGGAUUUAUUGGGUUUAAAGGGUGCGCAGGCGGCCUGUUAAGUCAGCGGUAAAAGCCCGGGGCUCAACCCCGGCGAGCCGUUGAAACUGGCGGGCUGGAGUUGGAGAGAAGUACGCGGAAUGCGCGGUGUAGCGGUGAAAUGCUUAGAGAUCAUACAGAACACCGAUUGCGAAGGCAGCUUACCAAUCUAUAUCUGACGUUGAGGCACGAAAGCGUGGGGAGCAAACAGGAUUAGAUACCCCGGUAGUC
Molecule: ribosomal RNA, 459 nt
Filed under: uncultured bacterium
Lineage: Bacteria
Description: partial 16S ribosomal RNA
Rfam family: Bacterial small subunit ribosomal RNA
Source: RNAcentral